AUACAGAGGGUGCGAGCGUUAAUCGGAAUUACUGGGCGUAAAGCGCGCGUAGGCGGUUAUUUAAGUCAGAUGUGAAAUCCCUGGGCUCAACCUAGGAACUGCAUCUGAAACUGGGUAACUAGAGUUUAGGAGAGGGGAGUAGAAUUUCGGGUGUAGCGGUGAAAUGCAUAGAGCUCCGAAGGAAUACCAGUGGCGAAGGCGACUCCCUGGCCUAGAACUGACGCUGAGGUGCGAAAGCGUGGGUAGCAAACGGGAUUAGAAACCCUAGUAGUCC
Molecule: ribosomal RNA, 274 nt
Filed under: uncultured bacterium
Lineage: Bacteria
Description: partial 16S ribosomal RNA
Rfam family: Bacterial small subunit ribosomal RNA
Source: RNAcentral